UAGACUCGAGCAAUUUUCUCACUUCAGCCUCCUGAGUUGCUGGGACCACAGGUGCACGCACCACCCCCUGGCUUUUAUUUUUUUAUUUUUUUUAUUUUUUGGCAGAGACAGUGUCGCCUUAUGUUGCCCAGGCUGAACACCUGUGUCUCUUAACCUAAGAGCUGUCUCCAGCACAGGAUGCAAGACAGCCCCAAAAAAGUGUUAGGGACUUAAAGCCACCAGAAGCUUUUCUUAACCAAUGGAAUACAGGAGUCAAUGGGAACAUCCUGUCCAGAGGAAAGGAUAUUUAAGGAGAAAGGAAGCAGCACAAGUUCGACUCAGCCAAGAAACAGAGGAAGGACAUCCCAAGCACGAAGUGGGGCACCAGUCUGUGUUCCAGCGAGAGAUAAAAGGGAGAGACACAACUGGCUCCAGCCCUUUUCCUGCCUCUUCCUGCUUUGAAUACUCACAUGAUACCUGGAGCUGCAGCAGCCAUCUUGUUUACCAAGAAGAAAAGCCAAGAUGAUCACAGAAUAGCCAGCACUGGUAUUGUUCCGCCAGCGACAGCAGAUACUUACCUCCAGAUUUUUGGGGAAAAAAAAGGAGCUGGAGUGACUCUCUUGGUCCCUAAGGUGGAAGCCAUGUGUUGAGGACACUGAGCAACAAGAUAGGAGGAGCCUGGGGCCCAGCCAGAGAACAGGAAGCCACCCAAAUAGCUCUCAACCCCUUAUAGAUGGACUACUAAAUGGGAAAUAAAGUAGACUGUUCUCUGGGCAGGAGGCAUCCGUGAAGGCAAAGAUUCUGUCUG
This 787-nucleotide long non-coding RNA is filed under the name Homo sapiens (human). RNAcentral describes it as "HSALNT0268005". The record is from RNAcentral. Lineage: Eukaryota; Metazoa; Chordata; Mammalia; Primates; Hominidae.